Molecule: transfer RNA, 74 nt
Filed under: bacterium
Lineage: Bacteria
Description: tRNA-Val
Rfam family: tRNA
About the family: Transfer RNA (tRNA) molecules are approximately 80 nucleotides in length. Their secondary structure includes four short double-helical elements and three loops (D, anti-codon, and T loops).
Source: RNAcentral
GGGCGGUUAGCUCAGUUGGUUAGAGCGCUACCUUCACAAGGUAGAGGCCGCUGGUUCGAGUCCAGCACCGCCCA